Mirounga angustirostris (Northern elephant seal) is the source of this 1685-nucleotide long non-coding RNA. RefSeq lists it as uncharacterized. The record is from RefSeq and is a predicted model, not a curated record. Lineage: Eukaryota; Metazoa; Chordata; Mammalia; Carnivora; Phocidae. The transcript has 3 exons.
GGGCGCCACUCACCUGGGGGACGCGGCCGCGGGCGGCGGGAGCCGGGAGCUCGGGCCCUGCCCGCCCCCUGGCCUGGAGUUUGAAAGGAGGAAGCCUGGAAUGUGCGGAAUGAGGGCUGGCUUACGGUCAUUCUCGUGGACUAUCUGAAAGUUCUUCACAGAUGCCUGAGUGACCCGGCCAUGGAAGUUCAGGACGUAGGACUGCGUGUCAUCGUUCCAGACUGGGGCCUUGUUGUGCAGUUCAAUCAAGUUCUCCAUGGUUUUGUUUUGCCAUUUGGAAAGCAAGCUCUCGUGGUCCUGUUUGAAGAGAAAAUCAUUGCUUUGUACUAAGAACCAUAGGAAAUCAUUCGCUCUCAACUCUGUGAGGUAGCAGGGGAUGUAGGGGAGUAUUUUCUCUGUUUCAGGAAGGGUACAACAGAAACAAAGAAAGCCAAAAGUUAAGGCAGAUUUUAAAAUUCUGAUGGAUUAUCUGGCAUUUCUCUUUGCAGACAAGCGGCUGCAAAUCAACCACUUUUGCAACUACUCUGCAACUUACCCUGCUGUUCUGCAGUGAUCACGCUCCUAAAUAAGGGCUUAAUUCACCUUCAUUUUUCUUGUAUACAAACUACGUGGUGACCACGGCAGGAGCUUGGGUCUUCUGCACAGAACCUCUGGUGUGGGUCUUUACAAGACGGUCAGUGAACUCCUGAGACGGGGCCUUGGUGAACACGGUCUCUUUGCAGAGGUCGGGAUGAGACAGCUGUAGGUCUUGGAGAUGGCAUCCCAAGUGGCCUUGGCGACAUUGCCCAGGGUGGCUAUGCAGCCCCCCGUGGAGGUACAGCAGCCCACACGGAGCCAGGGCCCCUGGGGCCGGGGAUGUGACACACCACCAGCACAGAGCUGCAGCGUCCGGUCACCUUACAAGGGACGGUGUGGAGCUUGCUGAUCUCGUUCUCCCAGAGGCCUUGCUGCACUGGGACUAGAAAACGUGGCCAGAAUGAUGGUCCCACGGAUGUCAGCGUCUACCACACUGGAGCAUUUAACACCGACCCAGGUGUCUGCUGGGAUCCCUGAUGGUAACACAUGCCUCGAACCUCGUCUGCCCACCAGCAUGGGUCUGCUUUUGCAAUGGCAUGAUCUUCAAAAACCUCAUCCUUGAAGGACGAUCCCAGGAAAACCUCAAUGACCUCAGAGUCCCUGAUGGGCAGGCGGACCAGGGACCUGAACUUCAUGUCCUUGCGCAGACAACUUAGGCUGGUGAGAGGCAUCCACUCCUCAUCCUUGCUCUUGCUGCCAUGAGCUCCUUGGCCUUGACGGCUGUGGAGGCCAUGCAGCCGUGUGGCCUCCCAUCCCAGGGCCUCCAGAGGCACCAGUCUCACCUGCCGUUUGGUGUUUUCUUGGAGAAGACCAAUCUUGGGGGCUUUAUCUCUUUUUCUAACCCUUAUAAUGCUUCUCAGAAUUCACUUUCAGGGAUUCCCUACUGUACAACUUUUCAAAAUUCACUUAGCUGGAUUCUCCAUAUACAACAGACACCCCUUAUCACUAAGACCCCCGGUGGAUGCCUACACCCCCGGUGGAUGCUCUACAAACUGUUUUUUACUGUACAUACAUAUGACAAAGUUUAAUUUAUACAUAAGGCAUAGCAAGAGACUAGCAACAAUAACAUGAUAAUUCUGACAAUAUACUAUAAUAAAAGUUAUAUGAAU